AGCAGCCGCGGUAAUUCCAGCUCCAAUAGCGUAUAUUAAAGUUGUUGCAGUUAAAAAGCUCGUAGUUGAAUUUCGGGAUCAGUUGGUCGGUCGUGCCUCGGUACGUACUGGUCAAAUUGAUUCCUACCUUCUGACGAACCACGAUGUCAUUAAUUUGGUGUCGCGGGAAAUCAGGACUGUUACUUUGAAAAAUUAGAGUGUUUAAAGCAGGCUCGCGCUUGAAUACAUUAGCAUGGAAUAAUGAAAUAGGACGUUUGAUUCUAUUUUGUUGGUUUCUAGGAUCGACGUAAUGAUUAAUGGGGAUAGUUGGGGGCAUUAGUAUUCAAUUGUCAGAGGUGAAAUUCUUGGAUUUAUUGAAGACUAACUACUGCGAAAGCAUUUGCCAAGGAUGUUUUCAUUAAUCAAGAACGAAAGUUAGGGGAUCGAAGACGAUCAGAUACCGUCGUAGUCUUAACCAUAAACUAUGCCGACUAGGGAUCGGAUGAUGUUAAUUUUUAAUGACUCAUUCGGCGCCUUACGG
This 520-nucleotide unclassified non-coding RNA is filed under the name uncultured Glomus. RNAcentral's name for it is "SSU rRNA". It matches the Rfam family "Eukaryotic small subunit ribosomal RNA", at positions 569 to 1093 of the family's 1831-position model. The record is from RNAcentral. Lineage: Eukaryota; Fungi; Glomeromycota; Glomeromycetes; Glomerales; Glomeraceae.